ANGGGUANUAGCNAGUAGGGUUCACAUGGCNUUACUGGGCGAAGCACAAGUGCUAAAGUACCCCGCAUGGGGAGUAUGGUUNGCAAGGCUGAAACNCNAAGNCAUUGACGGGGGCUCACACANCCGGUGGAGCAUGUGGCUUAAUUUGAGGCUACGCGAAGAACCUUAUCCCUAGACUUGACAUGUGCGAUAAGCGGUGGCCCGGUAACUCCCGGAAACGGGGUGUGAUUCCUCGCCAAGAGGAGGACCCACUACAGGUGCUGCAUGGCCUGUCGUCAGCUCGUGUCGUGAGAUGUCGGGUUAAGUCCCAUAACGAGCGAAACCCUUACCUUUAGUUACUACGGGUCAUGCCGAGGACUCUAAAGGGACUGCCGGUGUCAAANCCGGAGGAAGGCCGGGGAUGACGUCAAGUCCUCAUGGCCUUUACGUCUAGGGCUGCACACGUGCUACAAUGGCGUGAACAAAGGGAAGCCAAGGCGCGAGCCGGAGCAAAUCCCAAAAAACACGCCCCAGUUCAGAUCGAGGGCUGCAACUCGCCCUCGUGAAGUUGGAAUCGCUAGUAAUCGCGGGUCAGCGACACCGCGGUGAAUGUGUUCCUGAGCCUUGUACACACCGCCCGUCAAGCCACGAAAGAGAGGGACGUCCGAAGUCGCCUCACGGCGCCGAAGACGGACUUCUUGAUUGGGANCUAAGUCGUAANCAAGGUACC
Molecule: ribosomal RNA, 709 nt
Filed under: uncultured bacterium
Lineage: Bacteria
Description: bacterial SSU rRNA
Rfam family: Bacterial small subunit ribosomal RNA
Source: RNAcentral